AGAGGAAGCAAAGACUACUCACAGGGACUGUGGACAAAUGUUCAUGGAAGACUAAAAAGAGAUGGCCAGGCUGUAUGUCCAGGGAAGUAUGAAUAAAGCAGACCAGGCGGGUGAGUAAGGGAGACGGGGAGCUGGGGGAAGAGGAGGACUAAGCUACUGGGAAAUACAUCCAGGAGAAAAGGAAGAGAUUGGGAACAAGUGGCAGAGAAACAUGUGCUGUGGAGUAGGGGCAGAGAGAGGAAAAGAAUAGAUAGGAUUUGAAAAGUCAAUGAAAAAAACAGAAGGGCUUUAUACCACAAUGAAGACAGCUAAAAUAUACAAAUACUUCUCCACCUACGCAAUUGCUGUAGUUGCACCAGGGAUGUUAUGGGAUCAGAAAUAGGAAGACAGGUGAGAUAUGCACUCAUGAUUGGCAGGGGAGAUGUUCAGAAGAUACUCCAUUAACAUGAAUGAUGAGGGUUCAUGCUCUGUGAAGUAUGAGAGCCCCUGGCCCAGGAGUUAGUCUGACUGUUAAAUAUAUUUGGAAUGAUUGAUUAUAAAAUUUGUUCUCAAUUUAAAGCCACUUUAAAGGUGGAAGUAAUUACCAGCAGGUGUAAUAGAGAGAAGAGCAGGUGGCCUGAUUCUCCAUUCCUACGGGUGUAAAUCAGGAGUUACUCCACAGCUCUCAAUGGAGUUAUGUGAGUAUAAGCAAGAUGACAAUCAGGCCUAUGGUGCAUAAAACCACUGGCUCAUCAAACUAGACUCAGUGGAAGCUGCAGGUGCUCACCACCUCUGAAAAAUCAAGCCCUAUCUGUGUUAUCAGAAACAUUUUCAAUCCUCAGAUCUCAAAGCAUUGUGAAAAGUGAGUGUUAUCUCCAUUAAUGGGUGGGGAAACUGAGGCACAGAAUGGUUAUGACUUGCUCAAGGUCAACAAGCACGUCAAUGGCAGAGCUGGGAAUAGAUUCCAAGGCUGGUACAGGUUUCAGAGUAGCAGCCAUGUUAGUCUGGUACACUCAUUCUACAAUAAACCCCCAAUUCCGUCAGCUCGUUGGGCCUAAUUUUACAAUUUGUGGGAUCCAGUUUUGCAUAAUUCCUUUUACGGUAGCGGAUUUGCUGGAAUCUACAUAUGUGGCACUCAAAGAUCAACUAACUCAGUUUAUCAGAAAUGCAUUUGCAAUUACUAGUCUUCAAAUUAGCAACACCUUUCUGAAAAGAGGGUCAGAUUCAACAAUGAAUCACACUGGUGGUGCCAUUAAGCAAGGAUUAUGA
Molecule: long non-coding RNA, 1248 nt
Filed under: Chrysemys picta bellii (western painted turtle)
Lineage: Eukaryota; Metazoa; Chordata; Testudines; Emydidae
Description: lncRNA (ENSCPBG00000012838.1)
Source: RNAcentral